UUUGUGCCGACACCCCCAACAAACUCCCAGGUGAUGCUGAUACUGUUGGUCUACCCAGUACCAGACUCCAGUAGUGGGUCCAGUUGUCUGCCUCUCCUGCGAAGUACUUUGGAGAAGCCCCUCCGAUCUUUCCCUGGUGAAUGUAUAUCCUUGAGCUACUCCCUCUCAGCCAAAGCCUAAACUUCCACAAAGGGGAAGCUGUCACCAGGGCUUUUGAGUUCCACCGGUUCAGAAGGGUAACCCGUUGAAUUUCUGUUUGCUUUCUAUCAUCCAAGAGGUAACCAUCAGAAAUCCCACCUUAAUCCAGUUUGAAUUAUAAAGGAAUUUACUGUGGAAAUGAAAAUUUCAGAUUUAGCUUAAGCUUCUACCACGCUUAAUCCAGUGGAUCAAAGUAUCACCAAAACCCCACGUUUCUUCAGUGUCUCCUCACAUCUUUGUGGAAUAUGAGCCUUAAACAAAGACUGGCUUCCCGUGUGUUUCGUAAGAGUUGCCAGCCAGCAUCUUGUUCCAUCCAGAUGAGAAAGAGAAAGUUUUACUGACCCUGUCACAAGUGCUAGAAAUGGCGUUCUCUUGCUUUAUUGUUCUCUCUUCAUUAAACCUUGACCUAAAGAUAAGAUUAUUGCUUGAAUCAAGAUAAUGGGGGUCUAACCCUGGAUUUAGGGUUAAAUUAAUCCCACACAAACUGCAGAGCUGCUAUAAAAUGGAGGAGGGAUAAAUUUGCCCAC
Molecule: long non-coding RNA, 725 nt
Organism: Canis lupus familiaris (dog)
Lineage: Eukaryota; Metazoa; Chordata; Mammalia; Carnivora; Canidae
Exons: 3
Source: RefSeq, a predicted model, not a curated record